AUGGGUUGUGUUUGUCAUCCCCCUUUUUUUUUGUCGUGGUAAUGGAGCACCGUAAUGUUCAGGUAGUGUCGGCACAAUGAGCUCUCACCAAAGACCUGGAACUCCCAAGGGCUGUUAUUUGUCCAAGACUGAGUGGCUAAAGUCCUUUGGUGGUAUUAGGUUGCACGCAUGUAGUACUCAAACGGGUGGCGCACCUGAUGUGGUGAAUUCACAGGACUACAGUGAAUUCUUUCAAGUUCUGCUCCCUUGA
Molecule: long non-coding RNA, 250 nt
Organism: Sinocyclocheilus anshuiensis
Lineage: Eukaryota; Metazoa; Chordata; Actinopteri; Cypriniformes; Cyprinidae
Source: Ensembl